RNAcentral lists this ribosomal RNA (292 nucleotides) under uncultured microorganism. Its description in RNAcentral is "partial 16S ribosomal RNA". It matches the Rfam family "Bacterial small subunit ribosomal RNA", at positions 505 to 796 of the family's 1533-position model. The record is from RNAcentral.
GUGCCAGCAGCCGCGGUAAUACGUAGGUGGCAAGCGUUGUCCGGAAUUAUUGGGCGUAAAGCGCGCGCAGGCGGUCCUUUAAGUCUGAUGUGAAAGCCCACGGCUCAACCGUGGAGGGUCAUUGGAAACUGGGGGACUUGAGUGCAGAAGAGGAGAGUGGAAUUCCACGUGUAGCGGUGAAAUGCGUAGAGAUGUGGAGGAACACCAGUGGCGAAGGCGACUCUCUGGUCUGUAACUGACGCUGAGGCGCGAAAGCGUGGGGAGCGAACAGGAUUAGAUACCCUGGUAGUCC